CCUACGGGCGACAGCAGUGGGGAAUAUUGGACAAUGGGCGAAAGCCUGAUCCAGCCAUGCCGCGUGUGUGAAGAAGGCCUUCGGGUUGUAAAGCACUUUCAGUGGGGAAGAAAGCCUUGGGGCUAAUACCCUCGAGGAAGGACAUCACCCACAGAAGAAGCACCGGCUAACUCCGUGCCAGCAGCCGCGGUAAUACGGAGGGUGCGAGCGUUAAUCGGAAUUACUGGGCGUAAAGCGCGCGUAGGCGGUCUGAUAAGCCGGUUGUGAAAGCCCCGGGCUCAACCUGGGAACGGCAUCCGGAACUGUCAGGCUAGAGUGCAGGAGAGGAAGGUAGAAUUCCCGGUGUAGCGGUGAAAUGCGUAGAGAUCGGGAGGAAUACCAGUGGCGAAGGCGGCCUUCUGGACUGACACUGACGCUGAGGUGCGAAAGCGUGGGUAGCAAACAGGAUUAGAUACCCCAGUAGUC
RNAcentral lists this ribosomal RNA (465 nucleotides) under Vreelandella stevensii. RNAcentral's name for it is "partial 16S ribosomal RNA". It matches the Rfam family "Bacterial small subunit ribosomal RNA", at positions 338 to 795 of the family's 1533-position model. Lineage: Bacteria; Pseudomonadati; Pseudomonadota; Gammaproteobacteria; Oceanospirillales; Halomonadaceae. The record is from RNAcentral.